GAGGGUACAGCUCAAUGGCAGAGUGCAUGCCUGGUAUGCAUAAGGUCCUGGGUUCAAUCCUCACUACCUCCA
RNAcentral lists this transfer RNA (72 nucleotides) under Camelus bactrianus (Bactrian camel). It matches the Rfam family "tRNA". From Rfam's summary of the family: Transfer RNA (tRNA) molecules are approximately 80 nucleotides in length. Their secondary structure includes four short double-helical elements and three loops (D, anti-codon, and T loops). The record is from Rfam by way of RNAcentral. RNAcentral also lists the same sequence under 1 other name. Lineage: Eukaryota; Metazoa; Chordata; Mammalia; Artiodactyla; Camelidae.